Long non-coding RNA from Brachypodium distachyon (stiff brome), 354 nucleotides. RefSeq lists it as uncharacterized. The transcript is spliced from 3 exons. NCBI's taxonomy places the organism in Eukaryota, Viridiplantae, Streptophyta, Magnoliopsida, Poales, Poaceae. The record is from RefSeq and is a predicted model, not a curated record.
GAAAGCCCAAACAGAGAAGCUUCUUCUCCGUCGCUCCACUCCAUCCUUUUCCCCUCCGCAGACUCUCUCUGUGCCGCGGCCGCAGCCAUGGAUCCAAAAUUUCGGCCGCAGCCAUGGUAAAUUUUCUCUGCCUGACCUCGCUGGUGACCCGGAAGGAAAUCUCUGCCUGGAUGCAAGAGAGCCUGCUCCAGCUGCUGCUCGGUGCAGCACUUGGACAACUUUUACCAAAGUAGUCUUUGGUGGUGGCUGUGCCUCAGCUUUACUCAAGAGUCAACAAUCUUCAUUGCUCCCUGGUGGUCUUGUAAGACUUGGCCGUCUUGGCCCCUCUUCUAAUGAAAUUUGACAAGUUCGAUA